RNAcentral lists this ribosomal RNA (487 nucleotides) under Caloca saneva. Its description in RNAcentral is "partial 16S ribosomal RNA". The record is from RNAcentral. Lineage: Eukaryota; Metazoa; Arthropoda; Insecta; Trichoptera; Calocidae.
GUCUUUUUGAUUAAUAAUUUAAAGUCUGGCCUGCCCACUGAAAUAUUUAAAGGGCCGCAGUAUUAAUUGUGCUAAGGUAGCAUAGUAAAUAGUCUUUUAAUUGGGGACUAGAAUGAAUGGUUAGACGAAAUAUUUAUUGUUUUUUAUUUAAAUAUAUAGAAUUUAUUAUUUUAAUUAAAAAAUUAAAAUUUUAUAGAAAGACGAGAAGACCCUAUAGAUCUUUAUAUAAAUUAUAAUUUAAUUAAUUUAUAUUUUAUUGGGGUGAUUAAAAAAUUUAUUUAACUUUUGUUUAUAUUUAACAUUGAUUUUUGAUUUUAUUUAUUGUGAUCUAUUUUUAUAAAUUAAGAUAAAAGAUACCUUAGGGAUAACAGCGUAAUUUUAAUUUUAAGUUCGUAUUAAAAUUAAAGAUUGCGACCUCGAUGUUGGAUUAAAAUUAAUUUUAAAUGUAGCUGUUUAAUAAUUAGGUCUGUUCGACCUUUGAAUUUUU